UUUUCGCCGGAGUCUCGGCUCUGUCGCGAACAAUAGAUGACGUCACUGCUACGUCACUCACGUGUGACGUAACUUGAAGACUUUUUUUACCUAAGUUAGUUUUGACUUUUCCCCGUGUCGCCACGGAGUGCCUAGUAUGUCACGUGCUUUAUGAAUUUCGUCCCUAGUGUCAUCUUCGCUACUCACGGGGCAACGACGGCAUGCCGUGGGUAAUUGGAAUACAAUGCCGCACGAAAAUCUACAAAUACAGGUGCUCGCAGCUAUGUCCGUUCUUGCUCACUCCGCUUCGGAAUCGCGCAGGUCAACUGUGAUCGAGCUGUCACUGACGACGAAAGCCGUCGUUGCGAGGUUUGCAGUAUGUUGUUCACCAAGAGGAAAAACAUGCUUCGGCAUGUCAGGGACGUCCAUAAAGUAGGCCCAGAAAUCAAUAAGCGCAUGAAAUGCGACGUUUGUGGCGUUGGCCUGUCUUCACUGGAAGAGUAUGUGGAGCACCAUAUCGCAACGCACGAAUUCGCCGCCGAGUACGUGCAGCGCACGUUCCUCAACGAUAAAGAAUUCAGUGAAUGGAAAGCUCAGGAAGAGGCCAACGAAAACUGUUGGUUUGUAAGUCGCACGGCUCCCAAAAAAUUAGCCAGUUGUUAAACAAGGACCCACUACAACUGUAAUAGAUCAGGAGUGGCUAGACCAAAAGAAGGUCAUGGUAAACGUCGAGAGAAAAGUCAGGGGACCUGCAAGUCCGAUAAGAUAUGUCUUUCAUUUCUUACUGUGACGAAGCAGGAGAACACUCAGAGUCCAGCAGCUGAAGAUAUCGCCAUAAAUGUUAGGUACCAAAGGAAGCACUACGGCCAUCAAGCAGAAAUUCAGCACUUGAAAAUGACUGACGAAGUAAAGGCCAACAUAGCGGAGCACCUGGAGCGCGGUGUGCCCAUGAAAACCGUAUUGAAAAAUAUAAGAACAUCUGUUGCUAGCAAGCUAAGCCCAGUACAUUUGGCAGAGCGCGUAACUCUGCAUAACAUCAAGCGGCAGUUUCACAUUGCUGCUCCUGAACAGUGUCACCCUAAUGAUGCUGUUAGCGUAGAUAUGUGGGUGCAAGCAAUGCGAGACAAAGAUGAAACGCUUGUCCGCCUGUAUAAGGCACAGGGUGCAGUGGACCCAAAUGGUACUUUUGGUGCAACAGAUUUUGCCCUUCCUUUGAUGACAGAGCCACAAAAAGAGCUGUUAGAAGAAUUGGGCACGGGCACUGUGUGUCUUGACUCAACACAUGGAACUACAGGGUACCAGUUUGAGCUGACCACUCUUCUAGUGCUAGAUGAAGUGGGAUCAGGUAUACCUAUAACCUAUUUCAUCUGCAACAGGAUUAAUGAGGAAAACUUGGCAGCUUUUUUCAGGUCUCUUGAGUGUGCCAUCAACAAAAAAGUGGCUGCUAAGACAUUUAUGUCUGAUGACGCCGCACAAUUUUACAAGGCAUGGUCGUCAGUUAUGGUUGUCCCUCAGCAGAAACUUCUCUGCGCCUGGCAUGUGGAUAGGAA
Molecule: long non-coding RNA, 1529 nt
Organism: Rhipicephalus sanguineus (brown dog tick)
Lineage: Eukaryota; Metazoa; Arthropoda; Arachnida; Ixodida; Ixodidae
Exons: 2
Source: RefSeq, a predicted model, not a curated record